Long non-coding RNA from Lynx canadensis (Canada lynx), 1483 nucleotides. RefSeq lists it as uncharacterized. The record is from RefSeq and is a predicted model, not a curated record. The transcript has 2 exons. NCBI's taxonomy places the organism in Eukaryota, Metazoa, Chordata, Mammalia, Carnivora, Felidae.
AGCCCCAGUGUUGACUGGCUGUGCAUUCAGCCCUAGGAAGGUCAAAAGCAGAAUGGCCUUGUGUCGAUGACUUUUUCUGUAUGUACAGCUCUGGAUGGAAAACAAAUCAGGCAUCUGGCUCUCAGCCUUGAAGAGCUACGGUCUUUGGAGAAUAGAUGUGUAGUCACACUUUGUUUUCCUUUUUAAAGCAAAAGAACAGAACAAACUCUCUGGGGGGAGAAUGCGCUGGCAGAGACUAGAAGAGAGAAACCAAAUAACGUUUGAAACAAUCUGGGGGUUAAGGGAUUGUCUCAACCAUUCAGAUCAAAGAAGGCUCUUCAGGGUAAGUUGGAGUUGUCUGCCUUUGAAAAUGGAAGGGGCUAAGGUGUGAAAGAUUUCUCCGAACUUGGACAACAGUAGGAGUCCAGAACGCCGUCUGUAGGGGCAGCAAGAAUGCCAGUGGAGGGGAUGCCUGGACGUGAGGCAGAGAGUUGACAUUCAGUAUGAACUGCCUUUUCUUUUUAUAACUGAGACUCCUAACUCCAGUAUCAUUUCUCAUGGUUUAAUGUGUUUGGGCUCAUUUGGAGCCAGUGCUGACAAUGGAAGAUGGCUGAGCAAACAAAGGUAUUGUUGUAAACGUCAAACACAAUCAGAGCCAAAGGACGAGAACAAGCCCUAGCAUGGGUAAGUAUUUAUAGGGGAAAUUAAUUUGUUGUCUGAUGGCCAUGAACUGGGCAGUAGAGCAAAGUGAGCCUUUUACAAGCGAUAUUCCAUCUCCGUCCGCAUUCUAAUGGUUGUAAAACUCACCAUAUGAAGCUAAUAAUUGGUGCAUAAAACUAAUACUUUCCAUUUUUUUCCUCUUAUUUUGUAGGCUUUACGCAUUAUAAAAAACAUGAUUAAGUCCUGGCGGUUAUACUCCUGGCUGGUUCUUAUUUCAGCUUUGGUUCCUCUUGCUCAUUCCUCAUAAAAAUUAUUAGUGUGGAUUGUGUACAUUAAGUCAUCUUCAAUGGGAAAUUAAAUGGGGCAAUUUCUCUCGUCUAAGUGUUUCAGAAGAGGCCCGAUAUAGGUGGUGCCAAUGAGCCUCACAAAGCUAGGUGGUGGCUUACCUAUUGAAGGGGACUCCUGAGAGGUUAUGGAAGCAUUCCACCCACGUUACCACACUGGCAAUCUCUAACCCAUCAAGCAAGACUUUAAGGAAGCUGGCACUGAGGAUUACUUGGAAGUCGUAAUCAAUUUAGUAAGUGCCCUCAUCUUCAUUCUCCAAUGCCAUUAGAUGCGUUUCUUCCUUAACACAAACCAAAAGAGAGAUGUGUCAGUGAAACCACUGGGAGAGUUUGAUAUGUCUUCUGGACUUUAUGAGACAUAGGAACUGAUGUCUGACUCAUACUUGAAAACACAGGGGACUGUGGCCUGAACUACUUUUUUUCUGGGGUCUACGAUGAAGAUAUAUUAGGAGUAAUUAGUGCUUCCAGAAUUUGGUGGGGCAAAUAAAGACCCUACUUAA